GUCUAUGGCCAUGCCACCCUGAACAAGUCCGAUGUCUGAUCUCAGAAGCUAAGCUGACUCAGGCCUGGUUAGUACUUGGAUGGGAGAUCACCUAGGAAGACCAGGUGCUAUAGGCA
This 116-nucleotide ribosomal RNA is filed under the name Pteropus alecto (black flying fox). Lineage: Eukaryota; Metazoa; Chordata; Mammalia; Chiroptera; Pteropodidae. The record is from RNAcentral.